This 496-nucleotide ribosomal RNA is filed under the name uncultured bacterium. Its description in RNAcentral is "partial 16S ribosomal RNA". It matches the Rfam family "Bacterial small subunit ribosomal RNA", at positions 28 to 506 of the family's 1533-position model. The record is from RNAcentral.
GAUGAACGCUGGCGGCGUGCCUAAUACAUGCAAGUCGAGCGAACAGAUGAGGAGCUUUCUCCUCUGACGUUAGCGGCGGACGGGUGAGUAACACGUGGAUAACCUACCUAUAAGACUGGGAUAACUUCGGGAAACCGGAGAUAAUACCGGAUAAGAUAUUGAACCGCAUGGGUCAAUAGUGAAAGACGGUUUUGCUGUCACUUAUAGAUGGAUCCGCGCCGCAUUAGCUAGUUGCUAAGGUAACGGCUUACCAAGGCAACGGUGCGUAGCCGACCUGAGAGGCUGUUUGGCCACGCUGGAACUGACGACGGAUCUGGUCACAUACGUGCGCGCGUAGUUGGAAAUGAUCGGCAUAGGCCGACAGCCUAGCGUAAUCGCGCCCCGGGCGUAAAAGAGAUCUCCGGCUCGUAAAACUGUGUAAUUAGAAAAGAAUCAAUGUGUAGGUAGAUAUGCUAGUGCUGAUGUUCCCUAAUAAUAGAGCCGCGCCUAACUCCGU